RNAcentral lists this ribosomal RNA (328 nucleotides) under uncultured eukaryote. RNAcentral's name for it is "partial 18S ribosomal RNA". It matches the Rfam family "Eukaryotic small subunit ribosomal RNA", at positions 1470 to 1796 of the family's 1831-position model. The record is from RNAcentral.
CCCUUAGACGUUCUGGGCCGCACGCGCGCUACACUGACGGAGCCAGUGAGUAUAAACCUUGGCCGAGAGGUCUGGGAAAUCUUGUGAAACUCCGUCGUGCUGGGGAUAGAGCAUUGUAAUUAUUGCUCUUCAACGAGGAAUUCCUAGUAAGCGCAAGUCAUCAGCUUGCGUUGAUUACGUCCCUGCCCUUUGUACACACCGCCCGUCGCUACUACCGAUUGAAUGGCUUAGUGAGGCUUCCGGAUUGGUUUAGAGAAGGGGGCAACUCCAUCUUGGAACCGAGAAGCUAGUCAAACUUGGUCAUUUAGAGGAAGUAAAAGUCGUAACA